CAGUGAUGCACCAAUUCGGAUAGGGCAGGAAAGAACGGUGAAAGACGAGCGCCGCGCGAAGGCCGGUGAACUUCGUCGCCGUGAUGCUUCGUCUUCCCACUCUCCUCCCCCUAAAACCCUCGCCUCCCACCACCGGCUUAAACCCCAUCCACGGCCGCCGCCAUGGCCACCACCCCAGCCGCCUCCUCGCCUCCUCCGCCCCGCCGCCGCCACCACCACGGCCUCCCAAGCCCGAGCCCCGUACCAGCCACGAGAACCUAGGCGACGACACCCCCGAUUUCCCCACAACCAAGCCCCGCAAGCCGCGCCGCGGGCGCCGGAGCGAGGCGGCGGCGGUGGAGGACUUCGUGCGUGGCCGCCUCGAGCAGGUCUUCGCUUCCAUCCGGGAGCGCGACCCCGAAGUCCUCGAAGGCAAGGGCGACAUCUUGAAGCGAAAGGAGGAGCUCUCCGACGAGGAGGGAAAAGAGGGGACUGGUGAGGAAGAGGGGGAGCUGAAGGCUGUGGUUGAGGAGGAGGAUCCCUCCUGGCCUCUGGACGCCGACAUCGGGUGGGGGAUUCGGGCGUCGGAGUACUUUGACAAGCAUUCCAUCAAGAAUGUGACGGUGGAUGGUGUGGAGAUCGAUUGGGAGAGGGAGGUCGAGGAGGGAUGGGUCAAAGAGAUCAACUGCUUGGAGUGGGAGAGCUUCGCCUUCCACCCUAGCCCCCUCAUCGUUCUUGUCUUCGAGCGCUACAACAGGGCAGCUGACAAUUGGAAGUUUCUUCAAGAAUUGGAAAAGGCGGCUAAAGUUUACUGGAAUAGUAAAGAUCGGCUACCUCCUCGGACAGUGAAGGUUGAUAUGAAUAUUGAGAGAGACCUGGCAUUUGCACUUCAAGUAAAAGAAUGCCCACAAUUAUUAUUCCUCAGGGGAAACAAGAUAUUAUACAGGGAAAAAGAACUAAGAACUGCCGACGAACUAGUUCAAAUGAUUGCCCAUUUCUACUACAAUGCAAAGAGACCAUCUUGUGUUAAUCCUGAAGCUAUUGCACCUCCGUGCUAAUCUCCUGCAUUUCAGCGCUUAUGUAUUGAGACAGUGCCUUAAUUCUCAACUCUUGGUGAGUGUACACUGUGGAAAAUAGUCUAAAUAGACCAGUGUGGUUAUGAUGCUUGUAUCUGUAAUAAAUGUAUCACUUGAAGAGGAAGGAGAGAAACCUCUUACUGGCUCAUCUCAAGUUGGGAGGGGGUCAGGUAUCAACUAUGUCAUAUAUUUUGGUAUGCUCAUGUUUUUAGCUGUACACUUUCACCUUUGUACUGUACUCUAACAAAACAUACAGUUCAUCAAAUUUCUAGAUAGAACAGGAGGGAAUGCUAGCUUAAUUAUCUGCGUGGCCAUCCUGUUAAGGAGGUUGUAAAGUCGAUUGUAAACUUUUGAGGCGUAGUGUAAUGUCAUUUCACGCCAUAGAUGCAAAAUGAAGGCAGGGGGGUCAACCCAUUUGUCAUCUUA
Non-coding RNA from Oryza sativa Japonica Group (Japanese rice), 1481 nucleotides. The record is from RefSeq and is a predicted model, not a curated record. Lineage: Eukaryota; Viridiplantae; Streptophyta; Magnoliopsida; Poales; Poaceae.